AUGAGCCAGCAUGCCCAGCCUCAGGCUGGGUUUCUAAGCAAGUCUUUGACUAUGGCCUGGGGGGCACACACUCAGGACAAGACGACUUGAGGCUUUCCAGAGAGCAGCUGCUCAGGUGUGCAUUACCAUUGCAAUGAGAAAACCCCAAAAAGACAUACCUUUUACUGGAGGGGGAGAAGGCAUUCUCCAUGUUGAAAGCAUUCUCCACUCCUUUCCCGAGGGGAGCCAUGAAGGAGACACGCGUCUUUCCCAGGUGCCCCCCAUUGCCCAGUGGUCUGCCCCGUCUGCUGCACAAGGAAACAGAAACCGAGGGCUGGAGAGAAAGGGGGCUCCUGAAGAUGACUGCGUUGCAUUGAGGCAAAAGGAAAGCCGUUGUACCUUCAGACCAUCUCUCGCCAUCCACCCUGCGUGACCAUUGCCUACGCCAGUCUUCCCUCCUCCCAGGACCCCUGCCCCCCACCCCCAGCAUCCUCUCCAGUGCCCCCUCAAAGGUAGCUACUUUCCUGCUCAUUACUUUUUACCAAACCUGGAGCCGAAGCCCUGAGUGAGCAGCUGGAGGCGGGGAUGGGCCCUUUGUCCAAGCCUCAGCCCGAGGGUGGGGGUGGGGAAUGAAGCUGGGGGGCUCCGUCCUCCCCGCUCUCUCUGCCAUCUCCCUCGCUGACUUUUGUCCUUGGAUCGCCUGCGUGAUCAGAAGAGGUUUCAUUCUCUGGCAACUGUGCAGCCAUUAGCGAGAGGCAGACGCAUUACCCUCUCACCGCACAAUCGUUGGCUACUUCAGUUAUUCUAUUUCACCUGAAGACUUUAUUUGCAGCCGAGCCUCCCCUCCGGAGCAGGGCAGGCCCCAUCUGUCGGACAGUUUGCUCCAGCGUCUCCGGCCAUUAUGCCUCCACUUGGAGGACGGGAUGGAUGGCAUGCGUGCAAGGGAGCAGGGGAGAGAGCGAGCUGGGGAGAGAGCGUGCGUGUCUGCCUGCCUGCACUCCCUCCCACUUGUCUCUUUAUCAUUCUCCCAGGGCCGAACAGAACUUGCUUUGAAGAGUGAUGUCAGACGUGUACAAAACAGAGCGAUAAAACCUAAUGCACUCGCGCCCCUUUGUCUGCCU
RNAcentral lists this long non-coding RNA (1100 nucleotides) under Homo sapiens (human). RNAcentral describes it as "HSALNT0156130". Lineage: Eukaryota; Metazoa; Chordata; Mammalia; Primates; Hominidae. The record is from RNAcentral.